RNAcentral lists this ribosomal RNA (253 nucleotides) under uncultured bacterium. Its description in RNAcentral is "partial 16S ribosomal RNA". It matches the Rfam family "Bacterial small subunit ribosomal RNA", at positions 524 to 776 of the family's 1533-position model. The record is from RNAcentral.
UACAGAGGUCUCAACCGUUGUUCGGAUUCAUUGGGCGUAAAGGGUGCGUAGGCGGUCGCGCAAGUCGGAUGUGAAAUCUCAGGGCUCAACCCUGAAACUGCAUUCGAUACUGCGUGGCUAGAGUGCUGGAGAGGAGACUGGAAUUUACGGGGUAGCAGUGAAAUGCGUAGAUAUCGUAAGGAAGACCAGUGGCGAAGGCGAGUCUCUGGACAUUUCCUGACGCUGAGGCACGAAAGCCAGGGGAGCAAACGGG